AAGGCGAAAGCAGCUCGCUGGAACGAUUCUGACGCUCAUGGACGAAAGCGUGGGGAGCGAAUGGGAUUAGAUACCCCAGUAGUCCACGCUGUAAACGAUGGAUACUAGACAUUGGAAGUCUCGACCCUUUCAGUGUCGUUUUAAUCAAGCUAACGCAUUAAGUAUCCCGCCUGGGGAGUACGGCCGCAAGGCUAAAACUCAAAGGAAUUGACGGGGACUCGCACAAGCGGUGGAGCAUGUGGUUUAAUUCGAUAAUAAGCGGGGAACCUUACCAGGACUUGACAUCUGGCUGCAGAAUCUUGGAAACAAGAUAGCCUUCGAGGGUGCCAGACAGGUGCUGCAUGGUUGUCGUCAGCUUGUGCCGUGAGGUGCACGGUUAAGUCCGAUAACAAGCGCAACCCCUACACUGUGUUACAUUGUACACAGUGAACUGCCUCGGUUAACGAGGAGGAAGGUGGGGAUGACGUCAAAUCAGCAUGGCUCUUACGUCCUGGGCGACACACGUGCUACAAUGGGUAGGACAACGGGUAGCCAAGCCGUAAGGCGGAGCCAAUCCUCUAAACCUACUCUCAGUUCGGAUUGAGGGCUGCAAUUCGCCCUCAUGAAGCCGGAAUCGCUAGUAACCGUGGAUCAGCCACGCCGCGGUGAAUACGUUCUCGAGUCUUGUACACACCGCCCGUCACGUCAAGGGAGCCGGCAAUACCCGAAGGUCCGCGUACGCGGGACGACGGUAGGGCUGGUGACAGGGACGAAGUCGUAACAAGGCAUCCGUAGCGGAAGCUGUGGAUG
RNAcentral lists this ribosomal RNA (789 nucleotides) under marine metagenome. Its description in RNAcentral is "bacterial SSU rRNA". It matches the Rfam family "Bacterial small subunit ribosomal RNA", at positions 712 to 1520 of the family's 1533-position model. The record is from RNAcentral.